This 852-nucleotide ribosomal RNA is filed under the name Triticum aestivum (bread wheat). RNAcentral describes it as "partial small subunit ribosomal RNA". The record is from RNAcentral. Lineage: Eukaryota; Viridiplantae; Streptophyta; Magnoliopsida; Poales; Poaceae.
AUGGAAGCUGGACCACAAGCACGGCCAAGGUCUUCAUACCUACGCAACCGGGACACCUUCAAGGGCUCCUUGGUGCAGCGCCAUGUGGAAGACCACGGCAGGUUCACGUGGGCAAAUGGGAACACCUAUGUCAAUGCCAUGCGGAACGACACCAUGUCCAACAAAGGGGUGCUGGAAUGGAGCAUCGGGGACCUGUUUCAAGGGAACUGGCGCGACGACACGAUGUACGGGUAUGAGUUGUACACGUGGGAGAAUAGUGGGUGCUACCUUGGGACAUUGACCAGGGGGUUCAAGGUUGGGAAGGGCACGUUCUACCCUAAACGCUGCAGGCUUCAAAUCCAGCUAGGGCUGAACAUGCUGAUGAGAGCAAAGAAAGAAGAAAAACAAGAUGGCGGCAAAUCAUUCCGUCAGGUGUAUGAUGUGGUGCCAUGCACCGAUCUAUCAUAUCAAUCGUGUCAAAUGCAAGUGCAACCGGCAUUGGCGCUUGAGGAGGCGGCUACAGUGGUGGUGGUGGUGGUGGAGGAGGAGGUAGAGAAGACAGUGGAAGCGCCGGUUACAGUUAUGACUAUGGCUCGGGCUAUGGUGUCGGUUAUGGCUCUGGCGGCGGCAUUGGUGGUGGAUCCGGUGGUGGACAUGGGGUUGGUGGUGGAGGUAGUGGCAUAUAGGCUCAGGGUAAGGCUCCGAUUACAGCAGACGGCAGUGGUUAUGGCUCCGGUUAUGAUUCUGGUGGUCAAGGUGGUGGAGGAAGUAGUGGAGGUAGCGGUGGAUUCGGCUAUGGUUGUGGUGGUGACUAUGGAUCUGGGUGUGGAGAAGGCUAUGGGUUAUGUGGUGGCAAGAAAGAUGGCGGUGUAG